This 1569-nucleotide long non-coding RNA is filed under the name Homo sapiens (human). RNAcentral's name for it is "HSALNT0212843". Lineage: Eukaryota; Metazoa; Chordata; Mammalia; Primates; Hominidae. The record is from RNAcentral.
AACUUAUGGUGCUUUUCCCUGGGCCCGCCCAUGGCCACCCAUGAACCAAUCAGCACACACUUCCUCCCCGGUAAGGCCCAUACAAGCCUCAGAUUCAGAUUCAGCCAGACUCCAGCAGAGGAAGAAAGAUGAUGGGGAGAUGACACGCCGACCAGCUGCAGAGAGGAACUACCCUCUCUGCUGACAGCUGGACACUUAUCAGGAGACCUGCCUGCAGAGAGGAGCUACCCUCUCUGCUGAGAGCUGAAGAGAAGAUGGGCCAACCAGCUGCAGAGAAGAGAGGAGCUACCUUCUCUACCGAACACGGAACACUCCUUGGGACGACCUGCCCAGCAGAGAGGAGCUACCCUCCCUGCUGAGAGCUGAACACUCAUCGGGACACCCUGGCUAUGCAGAGGAGCUGCACACUCCAGGUCUACUGUGAGCUGUUCUAUUGUUCAGUAAAGCUCCUCUUCGUCUUGCUCACGCUCCACUUGUCUGUGUACCUCAUUCCUCCUGGACACAGGACGAUAAUCUGAGACCUGCCAAAUGGCGGGGCUAAAAGAGCUGUAAUACAGACAGGGCUGAAACACGCCACUUGCUCGCCAUUUUGUGAGUGACAAGGACGAGAGAAGUGAGAAGGAGAGAAGGAGAGGAGCUGCAGCUCUUUGGGAAACCUAGACCUGGGAGCUCCCCAAGCCAGGGCUGUGACUACCCCUUUGGGGCUCUGAGGUUCCUGGAGUCUCCAAGCUUCUGGGCACCACUGUGUUCCCUGGUGCCAGCCGUGGAAGCUGCUUGUGGUGCAGCUGGCCCAGCAGCAGCCUCGCAGAGAGCCGACGCCUGUGCCAGCACCUGCAGCUGCCCGCCCCACGGCAGCAGUCAGUGUAUCUGACUGUGCACAGUGGCUGGACCCCACACUUGCUCACACACCCCUCACUGCUCCACACCUGACUCGCAGUCUCCCUCGAGGCGUGGGAUCCAGGCUGGUAGCAUGAGCCGAGCACAGCCUGCCAGGCUGAGGGGGUGGAAUGAGCCCAGCAGACCCGAGCAAAACUCACACAGAGGCACCACUGGCCACAGAGUUUUCCGGCCAGAAAAGCGACACCCCAAAGUUCUCAUAACAAAAUAUUGCCUCUCCCAUCCAACCCAACUGGAAUUUGCUAGUCUGAAUAUUUGGGUCAUCCCAAAUUAUACGUUGAAAUCCUAACCCCCAAGGUGAGGGCAUCAGGAGGUGGCGCUCUGGCAGGUGAAGAAGUCCUGAGGCAAAGCCCUCGUAAAUGGGAUUAGUGCCGUCAUAAAAGAGACCUCAGAGCCUUCUCACCCUUUCUGCCAUGCAAGGAUACAGCGAGAGGACAGCCAUCUAUGAACGGAAAGCGGGUGCUCCCCAGAUAUCAAAUGUGCCUGCACCUUGAUCUUGGACUUCCUAGCCUCUGAACUAAUCCUGAAGUCAAGUUCUGGAAAAAAGAAAAGUGAAAGUUCACAGAGAUAAGAAACAAGGUUGGCACACUAGACUAUGUAUUGGGGACCACGGCUCCCAGUCCUCCUGCAACUCGGCUGUCUCCCUGUCCUGCCUGUGUCAGUGCCUCAUGG